RNAcentral lists this ribosomal RNA (486 nucleotides) under uncultured bacterium. Its description in RNAcentral is "partial 16S ribosomal RNA". It matches the Rfam family "Bacterial small subunit ribosomal RNA", at positions 30 to 507 of the family's 1533-position model. The record is from RNAcentral.
UUUGAACGCUGGCGGCAUGCCUUACACAUGCAAGUCGAACGGCAGCACGGGUGCUUGCACCUGGUGGCGAGUGGCGAACGGGUGAGUAAUACAUCGGAACAUGUCCUGUAGUGGGGGAUAGCCCGGCGAAAGCCGGAUUAAUACCGCAUACGAUCUACGGAUGAAAGCGGGGGACCUUCGGGCCUCGCGCUAUAGGGUUGGCCGAUGGCUGAUUAGCUAGUUGGUGGGGUAAAGGCCUACCAAGGCGACGAUCAGUAGCUGGUCUGAGAGGACGACCAGCCACACUGGGACUGAGACACGGCCCAGACUCCUACGGGAGGCAGCAGUGGGGAAUUUUGGACAAUGGGCGAAAGCCUGAUCCAGCAAUGCCGCGUGUGUGAAGAAGGCCUUCGGGUUGUAAAGCACUUUUGUCCGGAAAGAAAUCCUUGGCCCUAAUACGGUCGGGGGAUGACGGUACCGGAAGAAUAAGCACCGGCUAACUACGUG